AUUGAACGCUGGCGGCAGGCUUAACACAUGCAAGUCGAGCGGGGUGAUGGUGCUUGCACUAUCACUUAGCGGCGGACGGGUGAGUAAUGCUUAGGAAUCUGCCUAUUAGUGGGGGACAACAUCUCGAAAGGGAUGCUAAUACCGCAUACGUCCUACGGGAGAAAGCAGGGGAUCACUUGUGACCUUGCGCUAAUAGAUGAGCCUAAGUCGGAUUAGCUAGUUGGUGGGGUAAAGGCCUACCAAGGCGACGAUCUGUAGCGGGUCUGAGAGGAUGAUCCGCCACACUGGGACUGAGACACGGCCCAGACUCCUACGGGAGGCAGCAGUGGGGAAUAUUGGACAAUGGGGGGAACCCUGAUCCAGCCAUGCCGCGUGUGUGAAGAAGGCCUUAUGGUUGUAAAGCACUUUAAGCGAGGAGGAGGCUCUUUUGGUUAAUACCUAAGAUGAGUGGACGUUACUCGCAGAAUAAACACCGGCUAACUCUGUGCCAGCCGCUGCCGUAA
RNAcentral lists this ribosomal RNA (503 nucleotides) under uncultured bacterium. RNAcentral describes it as "partial 16S ribosomal RNA". It matches the Rfam family "Bacterial small subunit ribosomal RNA", at positions 30 to 523 of the family's 1533-position model. The record is from RNAcentral.